Molecule: long non-coding RNA, 1413 nt
Filed under: Anolis carolinensis (green anole)
Lineage: Eukaryota; Metazoa; Chordata; Lepidosauria; Squamata; Anolidae
Description: lncRNA (ENSACAG00000043142.1)
Source: RNAcentral
AUGUUUUUUUUUUGUUUUUUUGUAUUCUUACAGCGUUUUAUAGUGUUUCAGUGUUUUAUUGUACAAUGUUUGAAAAACUGUACAGGUCAAAUUCUUCAUCUGACUGAGCAUAUUGAGGAAGGCUAUGAGAAAGGCUGCAUUACGGGAACAGUUUUUGUGGACCUUACGGCAGCCUAUGACACGGUGCAACAUAGAAAAAUGCUGCAUAAAGUCUACCAUAUCACCCAGGACUUUGACUUUACAAAAACUGUCCAGACCCUCCUGGAAAACCGCAGCUUCUAUGUGGAGUUUCAGGGCCGGAAAAGCAGAUGGAGGAGGCAAAAGAAUGGUUUACCCCAAGGCAGUGUUCUUGCACUGACCUUAUUUAACAUCUUCACGAACGAUCAGCCACUACCACCACUCACAAAGAGCUUUAUAUAUGCUGAUGACCUUGGCCUUACAACACAAGCAAAAGAUUUUGAAACAGUUGAAAAGCAACUCACUAAUGCCUUGAAAGACCUCUCCAGCUACUACAAAGAGAACCACCUGAAGCCUAACCCUGCCAAGACACAAGAGUGUGCUUUCCACCUAAGUAACCGCGAAGCCAACAGGAAACUGAGAGUUACUUGGGAAGGCCAAGAGCUCGAACACUGUUUCCAUCCUAAAUACCUUGGUGUCAUGAACAUCAAGCACAAAGUAGCUGCACGCAACAACAUCCUGCGGAAACUGACUGGCAGCACAUGGGGUGCAGACCCACAAGUAAUAAGAACAUCAGCCCUGGCCUUGUCUUUCUCAACUGCAGAGUCUGCCUGUCCUGUUUGGCACAAGUCUGCCCAUGCGAAGCAGGUGGACAUAGCACUGAAUGAAACAUGCAGAAUCAUCAUGGGAUGCCUUAAACCUACACCUGUUGAUAAACUCUACAAGUUAGCUGGCAUUGCCCCUCCUGACGUGCGACGGGAAGUUGCUGCUAACGGUGAGAGAAAGAAGGUCGAACAUUGUGAAAGCCCCCCACUGCAUGGCUAUCAGCCUCCUCCCACCAGACUCAAAUCAAGGAAGGGCUUCGUGAGAACCACCACUCCUCUGGAUGUUCCUCCAGCAACAGCAAGGGUGUCUCUCUGGGCAGCUAAACCAGGCAAUCCCAAAUGGAUGCCCCCCCCCCCCACGAGGGUGUUCCUUCCUCCAGGGGCAAACCAAGAAUGGGCAACUUGGAAGUCCCUAAACAGACUGAGAAGCGGAGUGGGCAGAUCAAAAGACAACUUGGCAAGGUGGCACGACCUGGAGGAAUCCUCCACCUUGUGUGACUGUGGAGCUGAACAAACAACUCCGCAUAUGUAUGCUUGCCCACAAUGUCCUGCCUCAUGCACGGAGGAGGAGUUGUUUAAAGCUACGGACAAUGCGGUUGCUGUUGCCCGCUUUUGGUCCAAAACUAUUUAG